UACGGAGGGUGCAAGCGUUACUCGGAAUCACUGGGCGUAAAGGGCGCGUAGGCGGCCUAGCAAGUCUGGUGUGAAAGCCCAGGGCUCAACCCUGGAAGGGCACUGGAAACUGUUAGGCUUGAGUUCCGGAGAGGAGGGGGGAAUUCCCGGUGUUGCGGUGAACUGCGUAGAUAUCGGGAGGAAUACCGGUGGCGAAGGCGCCCCACUGGACGGAAACUGACGCUGAGGCGCGAAAGCGGGGGGAGCAAACACG
Molecule: ribosomal RNA, 253 nt
Filed under: uncultured bacterium
Lineage: Bacteria
Description: partial 16S ribosomal RNA
Rfam family: Bacterial small subunit ribosomal RNA
Source: RNAcentral